AUUGAACGCUGGCGGCAGGCCUAACACAUGCAAGUCGAACGAGUGGCGGACGGGUGAGUAAUGUCUGGGAAACUGCCUGAUGGAGGGGGAUAACUACUGGAAACGGUAGCUAAUACCGCAUACCAUCAGAUUUGCCCAGAUGGGCUUCGCUAGUUGGUGGGGUAACGGCUCACCAGGGCGACGAUCCCUAGCUGGUCUGAGAGGAGGACCAGCCACACUGUAACUGAGACACGGUCCAGACUCCGACGGGAGGCAGCAGUGGGGAAGAUUGCACAAUGGGCGCAAGCAUGAUGAAGCCAUGCCGAGUGUAUGAAGAAGGCCUUCGGGUUGUAAAGUACUUUCAGCGGGGAGGCGUUACCCGCAGAAGAAGCACCGGCUAACUCCGUGCCAGCAGCCGCGGUAAUAC
Molecule: ribosomal RNA, 406 nt
Filed under: uncultured bacterium
Lineage: Bacteria
Description: partial 16S ribosomal RNA
Rfam family: Bacterial small subunit ribosomal RNA
Source: RNAcentral